RNAcentral lists this ribosomal RNA (253 nucleotides) under uncultured bacterium. RNAcentral describes it as "partial 16S ribosomal RNA". It matches the Rfam family "Bacterial small subunit ribosomal RNA", at positions 524 to 776 of the family's 1533-position model. The record is from RNAcentral.
UACAGAGGUCUCAAGCGUUGUUCGGAUUCAUUGGGCGUAAAGCGCGUGUAGGCGGCCAGAUAGGUCUGCUGUGAAAACUCGAGGCUCAACCUCGAGCUGUCGGCGGAAACCAUCUGGCUAGAGUCCGGAAGAGGAGAGUGGAAUUCCUGGUGUAGCGGUGAAAUGCGCAGAUAUCAGGAAGAACACCUAUGGCGAAGGCAGCUCUCUGGGACGGUACUGACGCUGAGACGCGAAAGCGUGGGGAGCGAACAGG